Molecule: transfer RNA, 104 nt
Filed under: Candidatus Woesearchaeota archaeon
Lineage: Archaea; Nanobdellati; Candidatus Woesearchaeota
Description: tRNA-Ala
Rfam family: tRNA
About the family: Transfer RNA (tRNA) molecules are approximately 80 nucleotides in length. Their secondary structure includes four short double-helical elements and three loops (D, anti-codon, and T loops).
Source: RNAcentral
GGGCCCGUAGUUCAAUGGUAGAAUGUCGCCCUUGCAAGGCGGAGGUUUCGGGUUCGAAUACGGGUUCAAAUAAUAUUGCCCGUUAGAAAGUCCCGACGGGUCCA